AGCAAUGCAGGAACUAUAAACCGCAACCAACCCCUCUUGGAUCUUGACCUGUCAUUGAUGGACCGUUUGUUUGCUAUCAAUGUACGUGGCAUGGUAGCAUGUGUGAAGCAUGCUGCACGUGCAAUGGUGGAAGGUGGGAAAGGAGGAAGCAUUGUCUGCACUGCGAGUGUUGCAGGAAAAAGGGGGAGUGAUGAUGGGAUGCAAGACUACGUCAUAUCAAAAAAUGCAGUGGUGGGUUUGGUUAGAACAGGGAGUUGUGAGUUGGGGAAGUAUGGGAUCCGAGUUAAUUGUGUUUCACCAAGUGCACUUGCUACACCAUUGUUGAUGGAGUUCUUUGGGAUGAAGGAUAAGGAGAGUGCAGAGGAGGCGAUUUUAGGCAACAGUAGCUUGAAAGGAACAGUAUUGAAGGUGAAUCAUGUGGCUGAUGCUGUGUUGUUUCUUGCUUCUAAUCAAUCUGCCUUUGUUACUGGGCAUGAUUUGGUUGUUGAUGGUGGCUUGCUUUGUCGCGUUGGUUCAAAUAAAUUUUUAGGUGAAAAAUAAUUUCUCAGUCACGAAAUCAGCAAAAGAUUUAUGUAUUCUUCCAGCUGAUGUAGUGUGUGAAUAAGAAUUGUGUCUAAAGUUUGCUCUGUGUGCUUUCGGGUUUUCAAGUUUAAUAACAGUGAUUAAUAAUUCCUCUAGUAGAUCAUCCUUUCUGUUAAACUGUCUCUGCUUAGAGGUGUGCUCCAUUGUUAGUAGCAUGUUAGAUAUUUGGUUUCAAUAGGUUAGCUAAGCUUGGUGCUACUUGAAAGGUCUCACAUCAUACCCCCAUGUGAUUCUUGAGGGAGAACAAUUAUUAUGAAGUAUGUAGCAGCAAAUUACUAUUUCACCAAUAAUUGAUAGAAAACUCCUGUAUUCUUAAUUAAAAAUUGAUUGUGGUUACACCUAACCUUUUAAAGUUUACAAUAAUUGGUAUUCAGAAAACUAUGGACCGAGAUGCACUUCCAUCCAUUCCUAUAAGUAACUUGCAUAUCAAUAUGCAAUCCGACAAAAGCUAAACUGUGAGUUAUGCAACAAAGUAGAGUCGAAUUCCCAACUUAUGCAACCAACUAAAUUAGAUUUAAAAUCAUCACCAAACUUUCAAGUUUCCCAAUUUAUGCAACGCCGUCAAAUGAAAUCUAACGGAUGUAACUUUUUUGCUGACCGGAUGAUUUUUAAUAUUAAAAAAUAUUUUCCCCCUAAAAAUAUAAAUAAAUAAAAUAAAAUUGGCUUUAUCUCAAAAGAAGAUAAGUCUUGGGUUUUCAAACCCCCAUUUUCAAUUUUCUACUUCUCAAUCUCUUGGAUUCAUCAAAUCGAACUUAAAAUCUUAGUUUAUGGUUGUUUUGGGUUUAAAAUAAUCUCUUCUUUAAUUUUGGGUUUAAAUUUUUUUUUUACUUACUUUACACAGUCAGCAAUAAAUUAUUACACUACAAUAGCAAUAACUUAUUACACAGUUAGCAAUAAAAAAUUUAAAAAAGAAUACAGUCAGCAAGACCUAACGUCUGUUAAGGGAUUGUUAACGAUAUUGCAUAAGUUUGCUGAUGAUUUUAUACAUAAUUUAGUUGGUUGCAUAAGGUGGGAAUUCGAUCCUACUUUGUUGCAUGACUCGAUAGUUUAGCCUAUGGCAAAAGCCUUUUCAGAAAAGAAAAAAUGGAAGUAAUUACUCAUACGUGCAAAAACCUGGAAGGGAAAGUUGCUAUCGUUACAGGUGGUGCGAGUGGAAUUGGUGAAACCACUGGACGUUUGUUCGCUAAUGAAGGCGCACGUAUGUGUUGAACUAUAUGCAGUGAUUAAUUAAAUCCCAACAACGUCAAACAACCCGUAACCUAGAUAUUCGUGAGAACACAUCAUUUGCAAUACAGGAUCCGUUUUGUCAAUGAAGUCAAAGAUUACCAAACAAUAAACAAUAGUAUAAGAAGAAUAAAACAAUAAAGAACAAUAAUACCAAAAUAUACGUGGUUCGGCAAUGCCUACCUCCACGGGGAACAAUGAGAAGAUUUCACUAUAAGAAAAGAAACACCGAUUACAAUAAUCUCCCUAGUAUCUUUCUCAAGAUCUUAAUCUCUCACCUUAAACCCAAUACACUCUUGGCUCCCAAAGUUCUCUCUUAUUUACUCUUUCUAUCUCUAUGUUUCUAUUGUUUUCUACUCUCUUGUCUUAUCUUACAAAUACCGGGUAUUUAUAGUCUAUGGAUAGAAACCAAAUCCAUAUAGGAUUACUUGUUCAAAACUGAGAUAAAUAGGAAACCGAGUCCAAUAAGAACUCCUGCACAUAUAUGGUUUCCUUAACCAAUAUAGGAACUGAUCCUAUGGAUCACACCUUUUGUAUGGUAUGAUCCUGUGCACCCAACUAUUGCGAGCCAAUAUACAACAGUAUGGUUGUCAUUGCCGACAUCCAGAUAAGUUAGGCCAAUCUGUUGCUUCAUCCAUCGGCACACAUAACUGCACUUACAUCCACUGUGAUGUCUCCGAUGAAAACCAAGUCAAGUCCAUUGUCGAAUCAACUAUCAAGAGUUAUGGACAUCUAGACAUCAUGUUCAGCAAUGCAGGAACUGUAAACCGCAACCAACCCCUCUUGGAACUUGACCUGACAUUGAUGGACCGUUUGUUUGCUAUCAAUGUACGUGGCAUGGCAGCAUGUGUGAAACAUGUUGCACGUGCAAUGGUGAAAGGUGGGAAAGGAGGAAGCAUUGUCUGCACUGCGAGUGUUGCAGGAAAAAGGGGGAGUGAUGAUGGGAUGCAAGACUACGUCAUAUCAAAAGGUUGGUUAGAACAGGGAGUUGUGAGUUGGGGAAGUAUGGGAUCCGAAUUAAUUGUGUUUCACCAAGUGCACUUGCUAGUUGCUACACCAUUGUUGUUGGAGUUCUUUGGGAUGAAGGAUAAGGAGAGUGCAGAGGAGGCGAUUUUAGGCAACAAUAGCUUGAAAGGAACAGUGUAAUACCCAAGAAUCUGCAGAUUCAGAUGGAGAAGAAGGUUCAGUUGGUUGAACCAAAUGGGCCGAACCGACCCGAUUUCUUUUUUGACCCGUUUUCAUGUUAUAAAAACCAGAUCUGAUUUUCAGCACGAAUUUUCUUAUUAAAAAUCAAUUAAGAAGCUUAAGAAGAAGAAGAAAAACAUUCUAAAACCUAUGGUUUUGAUUGGGUAUUGCUUGCUUACAUUGUUUUGAUUAAUUGGUGGCUUGGAAUUGGAUUUUCUUUCUUGUUUGUGCAUCUUGGUUGUGUUCAUCUUCAAAGGUAAGUUAUAUUACUUGAUGUUUUCUCUUACUUCUUAGAUUAGGUUGAAGUAACCCCUUGUUAGCAUGUUUAAUUCGUUUAUUAUAAUUGAAUUACAUGAUAAAGUAUGAUUUAGUAAGUAGAACUCAAUAAAGUUACGAUCUUGUUGAUAUUUAACUAUGUAUUAAUGCUGAAAUUUAACUUUAAGAACAUAUUAAUGUAGGAAUUGGUGAUUUAAAACAUGUUUAAUGUUAACUUAAUGUUCCAAAGCAUAAUAAAUGAUUAUAUUGCUUAAUUGUACUUUGUAUGAUGAAUAAAGCAUGAUUAUAUUGAAUUAUUUAUUAAUGCUGAAAUUUAUAUUUCAAAAUAUGUUAUAUUGGGUUUGAAUAUUUGACUUGGUAUUGUAGUGUUUGAUUGAACCCAUUGGUUAUGGACUUUCUUACUUUAGAAUUUCCUGAACUUGACAUCAUACUUGUUUAUGUUGUUCGUCAUAUAUAUUUAUAUGGACGAUGAAUGGAAUAGAAUGAUUGGAUUGAACCAUGUGUUGGAUUAAAUUUGGGCGUGUUAAACAAAUUAACACAGGACCAGUAUGAUGGGGAGACGUCCCAGAGUGUUGUCACAUGACAUAGCUCGAUGAGUGUAUGGCUAUGAUGCGUACGACUUGGUGCUACUGCACAACUUUGUAUAUGAAUUUCAUGGAUUGAAAUUGAUGGAUUUGGAUGGACUUGAUGAUUUGGUUUGAGAUUGAAAUUGAUGGACUUUGAUAGAUUGUGUGAUUUGGUUUGAGAUUGAAAAAUUAUGAUGCAGAUAUUAGAAGAUUUAUAAAGUUGGAUUAGAUUAGUAUUUGUCAUGUUAUUUUUAUUGAUUUUAUAUUAUGUUUAGUUAACCCCUUCGGUGCAGGAGAAGUACGUAUGGGUUCAUUAUGGUCGGCUCAGUUUUUUACAAUCUUCACCGAGGUGGAGAAUUGUAGAAAAGUGAUAUGUGGAGGUUACAAGUAAUAGAUUCCUAUUAGGAAUCGGUUUCCUUAUUUGGCAACAAGUGUGGUGGAAUUCUAUUAGGAUUCAAUAAGACUUUCUAAUCUAUUAGAAAUCUAAGUUGUUGUUGAAUUAGGAAUUGGGUUACCAAUUGGAUUAACCAAAGAGGUUAUAAAUAUUGGUGUUGUGUAACCAUAAGAAUUUGAGCAAAGAAGAAAAUAUGUGUGAGGAAACCUAAACUAAGGUUUCAUUAGUUAUUGUGUAGUUCACUUCUCAAUUAUCAAUAAAGCUAUCUCUCUUUGUCCCGUGGAUGUAGGCAUAUUGUCGAACCACGUAUAUUAUUGUGUUUCCGUAUUUCUGCUUUAGUUUAUAUCUUUUGUGUUUGUUUCUUCAUUAAUCAUAUCAAGAUCCUGUGUAUUUAUCAUAACAUAAUCGACCUCGCUUUUGCCUUUUUACAGGAAACAAGUGAGGUUAAAUUACGGAGAGUCCGAUGAGGAUGGAGAGGUUGUUAGAGUUGGAGAUAGUAGUUAGAGUUGCUCUUAGUUUAGAUAUUUCUUUCAGUUAUCAUUUGUAGCCUUCGUGGCAUUUGUUUAUUCAUUUAUCAGUUUUCGGAUAUUUCAGACACUCUUAUUUCUUUAUUUGAUUCUUUAUAUAGAAAUUUGAUUUGUAGACUUCCGCUGUUGUUUAUUUAUUGUUCUUCCAUAUGUUCUGCAUGGAUAUAAGAAUUCGGCUUGGAUGACACGUGACAGUGAUGGAAUCCUAGGGUCCAUGGUGGACAUAUGGUGCAUAUCACGACUCUGGUGUCUGUGCUUGGUCUGAUCAACUAGGUAUGGAUUUCAGGGGCAUUACAAACAGUAUUGAAGGUGAAUCAUGUGGCUGAUGUUGUGUUGUUUCUUGCUUCUGAUCAAUCUGCCUUUGUUACUGGGCAUGAUUUGGUUGUUGAUGGUGGCUUGCUUUGUCGCGUUGGUUCAAAUAAAUUUUUAGAUGAAAAAUAAUUUGUCAGUCACACAGCUUAAAGAUUUCUGUAUUUUUCUAGCUGAUAUAGUAUGUGAACAAGAAUUGUGUCUAAAUUAAGUUUCAUCUGCGUGCUUUCGUGUUUUCGCGUUUAGUAACAGUGGUUACUGAAUGCUCUAAUAGAUCAUCACUUUUGUUAAACUGUACAUCUGUCUACAGGUGUGCUCCAUUAUUGGUAGCAUCUUAGAUUUUUUGUUUCUAGGGUAGCUAAUCUUGGUGCUUCUAAGAAGAACAAUUAUCAUGAACAAUAAGUGUAAGAGAACUCGUAUAUUCUUGAUUAAAAAUUGAUUGCAGUAACACCUACUUUCUAAAGGUUACAAUGUCUUCAGACUCAAGAAACUAAUCUAUGAUUUGUUCCUUUAACUAGAAUAUAAUUACUUACAUGACUAAUUCUAACUUAAACGUUUCAAGUAAAUUGAAUUUAGCAACUAAGCGCCUCCCAAAGCCUUCCCUUUGAGCAUGGUCCAAUUUUGCCAAGAUAUACAAGUUGAUCCUGAGUCCUGACAUUCACUUAAUAACCCCAUAAAUCUUAUAUCGGCUGCAGAGACUCAUGGCAACAAUUACUUUCAGGUAAUUGUGUGACAGAAUUACAGACUUGCUGGAGGGCUGGGAAAUUGUGAUACAGGACAGAGACUGUUUCCUUUAUUCAUUUAUUGCUUGUACAAAUUACUUUUGAUAAAAACAAAUGAAUAAAUAAAGCAUCUUUAAUCACUUUAAACUUACAAUGAAUGACCAGGCUUGUGCAGUUGUGCCUCUUUUAUGGCUGAAAUUUUUGAAGUCACCAAAUUUUUUCAGUGAAUCCCCUGGUAGUUGUGCGUUUUUGUUGCCUUGGAUAAAACAACUCAUCAAAUACAAACCAAGACAAAAUAUCACAGGCAGAUAGAAAUUAUUUACAAACAAAGGCACAUAUGGAAAAAGAAAAAAACUACAUUUUUCCAUCUCACCCAGUCAAACAAGGCCCAACUUGAGCACCAUCAAUUCAACAAACUAGUGACAGCCAGGAAAAAAAAAAUCACAGAAGCAAACUUACAUUUUCCAUCUCACCCAGUCAAACAAGGCCCAAAGUCAUUCCCCUUGACAAGGUACAUGAAGAAAUUUCCAAGAUAAGCCUACAAAAUGCUGACAAUUCAAAAAUCUGAUAUCUUUUAAAAAGCACAACGUUCUUGACAAACUGAACAGAGGAGCUGUCAGUGUGAUGCUCAUGAGAAAGAAUUCCAUUCAAAGUUUGGUGGUCAUAAUUAGAUCUAGAAUUAUCGAGUCUAUGUCCUUCACUUACUGACUUAGAACAAGAUUACAAGAAUUAUUGAGUAAGGACUAUUCUAUGGUCCUUCACUUAUUGAGUUAGAUCUAAAUUUAUUGACAAGUCUAUGCCCUUAAUAGUUAUUCAGGGAAUUCUGGACUGGAGAUGCAUUUCCAUCAAUUUCUAUAAGUAGAUUGCAUUAUAUAGAGAAAUCAAAUAAGCUUUCUGAGAGAAGAAAAAAUGGAAGUAGCUACUCCUAUGAGCAAAAGACUGGAUGGGAAAGUAGCUAUCAUUACAGGUGGUGCGAGUGGAAUUGGCGAAGCCACUGCACGUUUGUUCGCUAAUGAAGGCGCAAGAAUGGUUGUCAUUGCUGACAUCCAAGACAAACUAGGUGAAUCUGUUGCAUUAUCCAUUGGUGCACAUCAUUGCACUUAUAUCCACUGUGAUGUCUCCGAUGAAAACCAAGUCAAGUCCAUGGUCGAAUUAACUGUCAAGAAUUAUGGACAUCUAGACAUCAUGUUCAGCAACGCAGGAAUUGUAAACCGCAACCAAUCCCUGUUGGACCUCGACUUGUCUUUGAUGGACCGUUUGUUUGCAAUUAAUGUACGUGGCAUGGUAGCAUGUGUGAAGCAUGCUGCACGUGCAAUGGUGGAAGGUCAUAAAGGAGGAAGCAUCAUAUGCACUGCGAGUGUUGCAGGAAAGAUGGGAGGUGACGACGGGAUGCAAGAUUACGCCAUUUCAAAAAAUGCAGUGGUGGCGUUGGUUAGAGCAGGGAGUUGUGAGUUUGGGAAGUAUGGCAUCCGGAUUAAUUGUGUGUCACCAGCUGCAGUUGUUACACCUAUGACGAUGGAGUGGUUUGGGAUUAAGGAUAAGGAGAUUGCUGAGGGAGCAUUUUCAAUUCACAGUAGCUUGAAAGGAACAGUGUUGAAGGUGAAUCACGUGGCUGAUGCUGUGUUGUUUCUUGCUUCUGAUCAGUCUGCUUUUGUUACUGGGCAUGAUUUAAUUGUUGAUGGUGGUAUGAUUUGUCGGAUUGGUUCGGAUAACUUUGUUAGUAACAAAUAAUUCUCAAUCACAGGAAUUCAGCAUAAGACUGUGUGAUAUCUUCUAGCUGAUGUAGUGCGUUAAUAAGAAUCGAGAGUUCAAGGCUAAAGUUUAGUCUAUGUGUUUUCGUGUUUUCAAUUUUAAUUACAGUGAUUAAUAAAGGUUGUAGUAGACCAUCCCUUUUGUUCAUCUCUUUGAUGUCAGACCUUGACAACUUAAAUCAUAAAAUGCUAUGUACGGAAGACAAUAAUCCUGCAAGUCACUUCUCAGAAAUACUAGGUUACAGGUAUGCUCCAAUCUCAAUUAUGUAGCAUGUUAGAUUUUUUGUUUCUACACUAGGUUACCUUUGUCCUUCUUUAAACGUCGACUGCAUCAUACUUGUGUUUCUUCGUGUGCAUUAUUGAUAAAGUAAAUGAUUAAACCCCAAAUAUUAAUCAUACAGAAAUGUCAAACUUUCAAAUAAUUGAAAUCAAACCAACAUGCAAUGUAUUAAUGAUCAAACAGAAAUAUCAACAUAUCAGAUCAAUUAACUAUAAUUCAGUAAAGAAUGAAGAGAAAGGUAACGCAACUCACAAAGUGUUCAUCAUUUAAGGUUCCUGAAUCUCUUCUCUUUUCUUCUCAGCUAGCAUCGGUAAGUCCAGCACCACUAAUAAAUACAAUAUAAUAGUACACCCAAAUGCACCUGCCACGAAAUCGAAUGCAGCCUUUUUCAUUGCUUCCAUUGAAGGAAGAAUCAAUGCUGUUCAACAAGAUUGCCUUCCCCAACACACUCAAAAAAUCCUUUAACAACUGCUGCCACCAUUACCAAUGCCUCAGCUUGACUCUCGAAUCCCAAAUCUCAUUUUCAUAGUAUUAGUUUCUUUUGAAUUCAGCAUUAACAAAUCUUUAUUAAAUGUCGAAGGUAAUCCUUUUAUUGACCAAAAGAGAAAACCAAUUGAUCAAAUUCCAAGCAUUUUCAUCACAGAAAUUGCUGCAAUUCUAGCAUAAUUUCAUAAAAGGAUCUUCACUGUGAGACUUUUGGCGUCCUUAAUGGUGAGUUGAAGGUAUUGAAGAAGAGGGGUUUUGAAUGCUGCAAAUCACCAUUAGUUUGUAGUAGUAGUAGUAGUAGAGAGAGAGAGAGAGGGUUUAGGGCUUUUGCAGCAGAGGUGCUUGAUAAAAUCCCAUUCCGAUAUAUACCAUCUGGAUGUUAUGGGACUUAUGGCUCACCAGAUUCGAUGAUGUUAUUUAAAGGUGUUUCACCAAACUUGGACAAAGUCUGCACUCUGCAGCAACAUCAAGUCCUUACUCUGGUUUUGGAUCGGAGGGAAAGCUGCUAACAGAGAUUUAUACAUAUGGGUACCUGCUAAGAAAUUGGGAGAUGGUGCUGUUUGUACCUUUUAUUGUUCUUUGUAUUGCUCAACUCAAGCGCGGUGUGAAAGGAAGCAUGUGUGUACUACAGGUGUCAGUUGGGCUCAGCUAGUAAAACCUCUGGGUGAUGAUACCAGAGGUCUAGGGUUCGAAUCCCACCAGUAUUACCGAGUUACUGAUCUCAUUAAAAACAGGCUUACCAAACCAUUUUGCGAAUGAGCCUGUGGCUCAAUGGUUGCACCCCUCUCACAAAGUGGAGAGGUCGUGGGUUCGAAACAUGUCAACAUCGGAUUGUUGAUAUAAGUUUCCACACGUAAUUUAAAAGGGGUAGGGACCCUCAACCUCGCUUGCCAACCAAAAAAAAAAAAUGUUGGAGGACGGAAAAAGAAGUGAUGAGGGCAUGCAACAUGCAAGACUACAUCAUGUAAAAUAAAAAACGCAGUGCUGGAGUUGUGAGUUGGGGAAGUAUAGGAUCCGAAUUAAUUGUAUUUAAUCAAGUCCAGUUGUUACAUGGAGUACGAAAUUCUUUAGCUCAGGGAAGAGACAAUUAUUUGAGCUGGCCUGUACUAUAUUACAGCUACAAUGGAUCUCAAAUCAACAAUUCCUUGAAUUUAUAAUGCGUACGAAUCUUAGAUAGUUAGAUAUGGCUAGCUGUUGCCAACUUCAAUUGCCAGAAUAGGCAAACAACUAGCAUAUUAUUAGAAUUAUUAACUGGAGGUUGCAAUUCCAAACCAAACCAAUAAUUAAGAGGAAAUUAUGGACUGGAAGGAAUGUACUUCCAUCAGUUCCUAUAAGUAACUUGCAUAUCAAUAUGCACUAUGACAAAAGCCUUUUGAGAGAAGAAAAAAAAUGGAAGUAGCAACUCCUACAACUACAAGUAAAAAACUGGAAGGGAAAGUAGCUAUCAUUACAGGUGGUGCGAGUGGAAUUGGUGAAGCUACUGCACGUUUGUUCGCAAAUGAAGGCGCCCGAAUGGUUGUCAUUGCCGACAUCCAAGAUGAAGUAGGCCAAUCUGUUGCUUCAUCCAUCGGCGCAAAUCAUUGCACUUACAUCCACUGUGAUGUCACUGAUGAAAAUCAAGUCAAGUCUAUGGUCGAAUCAACAGUCCAGAAUUAUGGACAUCUAGACAUCAUGUUCAGCAAUGCAGGAACUGUAAAUCGCAACCAACCCCUCUUGGAGCUCAACCUGUCAUUGAUGGACCGUUUGUUUGCUGUCAAUGUACGUGGCAUGGCAGCAUGUGUAAAGCAUGCUGCACGUGCAAUGGUGGAAGGUGGGAAAGGAGGAAGCAUCGUCUGCACUGCGAGUGUUGGAGGAAAAAAGGGAAGUGAUGAUGGGCUGCAAGACUACAUCAUCUCAAAAAAUGCAGUGGUGGGGUUGGUUAGAACAGGGAGUUGUGAGUUGGGGAAGUAUGGCAUCCGAGUUAAUUGUGUGUCACCAGCUGCAGUCGCUACACCUAUGACGCUGGAGUGCUUUGGGAUCAAGGAUAAGGAGAGUGCUGAGGAAGCAUUUUCAAUUCACAGUAGCUUGAAAGGAAAAGUGUUGAAGGUGA
RNAcentral lists this long non-coding RNA (10391 nucleotides) under Aquilegia coerulea. Its description in RNAcentral is "long non-coding RNA (ACOE_LNC000177)". Lineage: Eukaryota; Viridiplantae; Streptophyta; Magnoliopsida; Ranunculales; Ranunculaceae. The record is from RNAcentral.